AGGCCGCGCGCCGCGCGGGGGCGGGGCUCCGCCGCCGGCCCCGCCCCUCGCGGGCGUGGUAGGGGAGCUGAGGGGAGAUGGCGGCUGCGGGUGAGGCGGGUGGCUGGCGCCGCCGGAUCUCUCUCCCUUGCCAGCCCUGACGGGGGCCGGGCCCGCUGUUUUAUCUUCGCUUUGGUGGGACGGAUAACCGGCGAGCAAUGAGCCGGGAAGGAGGUUCACAGCUGCUGUUUUGGACUUUCUACUUAGAGCUCACAUGGGACUAGUGAGUUGGAAGAAACUUGAAGGUCGUCCUUAGGCAAAGCUGCUUCACAAAGUGUCCUGUGUACCCAGGCCAUCGGCUGUGAGCAGUCAAAGGGGUCUGUCUCUACGUUCCCUCUCCUAAUAAUGAUUGCCAAAGCAGUUAUCUGGAUGGAGUCGAGUCCCUUGGAUGAAGGAAGAGCUGCAGCUGGGGUCAGCUCUUGAACCCAAUAAAGAAUUCACACUAAAACAAGUCUUCCUCAGUGCUCCCUCUACAGCCUGCUGACGUGACUGACAGUUCGGAGAGAAGGCAGCCCUGCCUGUUUCUGCUCUGGCAGCCUGACACCGCCACUGGUGUCUUUUGGUGGCUGCAGAAAGUAAGAAACUAUCUAAGACUCUGGAAGUCAGAAGAGUUGCUAAAGGAUUUGAAUUGAUGAAAUCUUAGGGCCAGUGUCACAGAAAUUAUCUUUGUCCACGAAGAUAUUAGCAGAUAACCUACCAUUUUUGUUUAAAAGAGAAGUCUGUCUUUUGCCUGUGACUAUAAUGGAUGCCUCG
Long non-coding RNA from Tyto alba (common barn owl), 792 nucleotides. RefSeq lists it as uncharacterized. NCBI's taxonomy places the organism in Eukaryota, Metazoa, Chordata, Aves, Strigiformes, Tytonidae. The transcript is spliced from 6 exons. The record is from RefSeq and is a predicted model, not a curated record.